Molecule: ribosomal RNA, 505 nt
Filed under: uncultured bacterium
Lineage: Bacteria
Description: partial 16S ribosomal RNA
Rfam family: Bacterial small subunit ribosomal RNA
Source: RNAcentral
GACGAACGCUGGCGGCGUGCCUAACACAUGCAAGUAGGACGCACAGUCUAUACCGUAGCUUGCUACACCAUAGGCUGUGAGUUGCGAACGGGUGAGUAACGCGUAGGUAACCUGCCUAUUAGAGGGGGAUAACUAUUGGAAACGAUAGCUAAUACCGCAUAACAGUAUGUAACACAUGUUAGAUGCUUGAAAGAUGCAAUUGCAUCGCUAGUAGAUGGACCUGCGUUGUAUUAGCUAGUAGGUAGGGUAAUGGCCUACCUAGGCGACGAUACAUAGCCGACCUGAGAGGGUGAUCGGCCACACUGGGACUGAGACACGGCCCAGACUCCUACGGGAGGCAGCAGUAGGGAAUCUUCGGCAAUGGGGGGAACCCUGACCGAGCAACGCCGCGUGAGUGAAGAAGGUUGUCGGAUCGUAAAGCUCGGUUGUUAAGGAAGAACGAGUGUGAGAAUGGAAAGUUCAUACUGUGACGGUACUUAACCAGAAAGGGACGGCUAACUACGUG